Molecule: long non-coding RNA, 1382 nt
Filed under: Numida meleagris (helmeted guineafowl)
Lineage: Eukaryota; Metazoa; Chordata; Aves; Galliformes; Numididae
Description: lncRNA (ENSNMEG00000014631.1)
Source: RNAcentral
GUUUAAUUAGCUGUUUAGAAUUGUACACUUUGCAUAAUCACUAUUUGACUACACUGAAAAAAAAGGAAGUUCAGACUAUUCAUUACUCAACUAAAACAAUCUGAAAUGCGAAUCAGACUUUCCGAUUUCUCUUUAGUGCUCUGAAGUUCUGAGGUAAAUAAUUCUUCCUGGGAAAGACACUGACUUCUGUCUGAACAGUUUUUAUUUUGGUCUUGUGCGUGGUCUUACCAUUAAGUAGAAUUUCACAUGGGUGGGAGGUAUUAUAUUUUAAGUUCCUUUGACGUAAAUAAUUUAUUUGACUUGGGAGUGGUGAAAAUUGUAAGCUGCUCUGCGGUGUUAAAUGGGAAACAUCAAAACCCAGACUAAUAUCACAUGUGAAAAUUUCAUCACAUACAUAUAUUUACUAUACAUACAGACGUAUGCAUGUGUGUUAUAGACAUAAAUACCCCUUUAAACUGUUUUGUAGUGGUUACUUUUCACACCAUAACAGGAUCUGAGAGUGCUUGUCAAAGUUCUUCAUCUGUUAUAGCAGAAAAUGGAUAAUUCUUGGAAGUUUUAAAUGCAUAAAUUUCUUCUGUGACUGACAGCAUAGAUGGCUUCAUAUUAUUUGCGCUACUCCCACAUUGCCAGGGGCUCUGGAAUGCCCACUUGAGGUUAGUGGGACAGAUCCCACUGUUCAUCCUGAAUUUCUCAGACUAUACCCAAAACAUAACCUUUCAUGACUACAGAUGUUGGCCAAAAUGGGUUGGGAUGAGAGAUCUUUCUCCUCCUGCCCUCCUGCUCCAGGUCCCUCUCCGUGUUCUCCUCUCCUCCCUGUUCCUUUUUGUCCUUCUCUUUCAGGCUCCUGCAGCACCACCUGCUCACCCUACCUCCUUCCAGGCAGGCAGAAGUAGUGGGAUUCAGGCCCCAAGGCCCUCUUCCUUCCCUCUUGCAUGGUUCAGAGUCCCAGCAUGUGCUGAAGCCAUGGUCAGAGGGGAGAUGUGGGAGUGGUACUGGGGAAUAAGCAUUUCCAGAUCAGGUUGUAACGUUGUGCGUCUGGAGGCCUUCUGGUCAUUGCGUGAGGUUAGAGUAAAAGUCUGCAUAGGAGGGGAGCUGCUGCAGAAGUCCCUGGGGAAGCUCUCCCAAGCUUCAGUGAUCUGUGCUUCGCUGAUUUUUCCUUUGGUUUUUGACGACGAACAACUCUAUUUUGCAAGUGUUACUUUUUUUUCCUCUUACGAAUUCUUGAUAUUUUGCAUUAGAAAUUACAUGUACUUUGAACCUUCAUCUUCCACAGAUUUUUACUUUGACCACUGGUUUACAAUUGAAAAAACAACAGCACUACAGUAUUUUAAAACUUUUUAAAUUCAAAUAAAAAAAAAUAUUUUGUGUAUGUUAAGUCCUUG